This 411-nucleotide ribosomal RNA is filed under the name uncultured bacterium. Its description in RNAcentral is "bacterial SSU rRNA". It matches the Rfam family "Bacterial small subunit ribosomal RNA", at positions 354 to 777 of the family's 1533-position model. The record is from RNAcentral.
GUGGGGAAUAUUGCACAAUGGGCGGAAGCCUGAUGCAGCGACGCCGCGUGAGGGAUGACGGCCUUCGGGUUGUAAACCUCUUUCAGCACGGAAGAAGCGAAAGUGACGGUACGUGCAGAAGAAGCGCCGGCUAACUACGUGCCAGCAGCCGCGGUAAUACGUAGGGCGCAAGCGUUGUCCGGAAUUAUUGGGCGUAAAGAGCUCGUAGGCGGUUUGUCGCGUCUGCUGUGAAAGCCCGGGGCUUAACCCCGGGUGUGCAGUGGGUACGGGCAGACUUGAGUGCAGUAGGGGAGACUGGAAUUCCUGGUGUAGCGGUGAAAUGCGCAGAUAUCAGGAGGAACACCGAUGGCGAAGGCAGGUCUCUGGGCUGUUACUGACGCUGAGGAGCGAAAGCAUGGGGAGCGAACAGGA